AUCGCUUCUCGGCCUUUUGGCUAAGAUCAAGUGUAGAAUAAGGUAACCAAACAAGAGUUAAAGUUUUUUGGGCAUUUAUUAUACACUGCCCGAUAAGCCUCCCAUCCUUAGUACAUCCAAAUGGAUCUCUGGAUGCUGCCCAC
Small nuclear RNA from Heterocephalus glaber (naked mole-rat), 143 nucleotides. Its record names the gene U2. It matches the Rfam family "U2 spliceosomal RNA". From Rfam's summary of the family: U2 is a small nuclear RNA (snRNA) component of the spliceosome (involved in pre-mRNA splicing). Complementary binding between U2 snRNA (in an area lying towards the 5' end but 3' to hairpin I) and the branchpoint sequence (BPS) of the intron results the bulging out of an unpaired adenosine, on the BPS, which initiates a nucleophilic attack at the intronic 5' splice site, thus starting the first of two transesterification reactions that mediate splicing. The record is from Ensembl. Lineage: Eukaryota; Metazoa; Chordata; Mammalia; Rodentia; Bathyergidae.